RNAcentral lists this ribosomal RNA (755 nucleotides) under Lactococcus lactis. RNAcentral's name for it is "bacterial SSU rRNA". It matches the Rfam family "Bacterial small subunit ribosomal RNA", at positions 36 to 774 of the family's 1533-position model. The record is from RNAcentral. Lineage: Bacteria; Bacillati; Bacillota; Bacilli; Lactobacillales; Streptococcaceae.
CUGGCGGCGUGCCUAAUACAUGCAAGUUGAGCGCUGAAGGUUGGUACUUGUACCGACUGGAUGAGCAGCGAACGGGUGAGUAACGCGUGGGGAAUCUGCCUUUGAGCGGGGGACAACAUUUGGAAACGAAUGCUAAUACCGCAUAAAAACUUUAAACACAAGUUUUAAGUUUGAAAGAUGCAAUUGCAUCACUCAAAGAUGAUCCCGCGUUGUAUUAGCUAGUUGGUGAGGUAAAGGCUCACCAAGGCGAUGAUACAUAGCCGACCUGAGAGGGUGAUCGGCCACAUUGGGACUGAGACACGGCCCAAACUCCUACGGGAGGCAGCAGUAGGGAAUCUUCGGCAAUGGACGAAAGUCUGACCGAGCAACGCCGCGUGAGUGAAGAAGGUUUUCGGAUCGUAAAACUCUGUUGGUAGAGAAGAACGUUGGUGAGAGUGGAAAGCUCAUCAAGUGACGGUAACUACCCAGAAAGGGACGGCUAACUACGUGCCAGCAGCCGCGGUAAUACGUAGGUCCCGAGCGUUGUCCGGAUUUAUUGGGCGUAAAGCGAGCGCAGGUGGUUUAUUAAGUCUGGUGUAAAAGGCAGUGGCUCAACCAUUGUAUGCAUUGGAAACUGGUAGACUUGAGUGCAGGAGAGGAGAGUGGAAUUCCAUGUGUAGCGGUGAAAUGCGUAGAUAUAUGGAGGAACACCGGUGGCGAAAGCGGCUCUCUGGCCUGUAACUGACACUGAGGCUCGAAAGCGUGGGGAGCAACAG